UACGUAGGCAGCGAGCGUUGUUCGGAGUUACUGGGCGUAAAGGGUGUGUAGGCGGUCCUCUAAGUUUGGUGUGAAAUCUCCCGGCUUAACCGGGAGGGUGCGCCGAAAACUGGAGGGCUAGAGUGCGGGAUGGGAGAGUAGAAUUCCUGGUGUAGCGGUGAAAUGCGUAGAUAUCAGGAGGAAUACCGGUGGUGUAGACGGCUCUCUGGACCGCGACUGACGCUGAGACACGAAAGCGUGGGUAGCAAACAGG
RNAcentral lists this ribosomal RNA (253 nucleotides) under uncultured bacterium. Its description in RNAcentral is "partial 16S ribosomal RNA". It matches the Rfam family "Bacterial small subunit ribosomal RNA", at positions 524 to 776 of the family's 1533-position model. The record is from RNAcentral.